This 629-nucleotide ribosomal RNA is filed under the name uncultured bacterium. Its description in RNAcentral is "bacterial SSU rRNA". It matches the Rfam family "Bacterial small subunit ribosomal RNA", at positions 554 to 1186 of the family's 1533-position model. The record is from RNAcentral.
CUGGGUGUAAAGGGUGCGUAGGCGGGACUGCAAGUCAGACGUGAAAUACCGGGGCUUAACCUCGGGGCUGCGUUUGAAACUGUGGUUCUUGAGUGAAGUAGAGGCAGGCGGAAUUCCUAGUGUAGCGGUGAAAUGCGUAGAUAUUAGGAGGAACACCAGUGGCGAAGGCGGCCUGCUGGGCUUUAACUGACGCUGAUGCACGAAAGCAUGGGGAGCAAACAGGAUUAGAUACCCUGGUAGUCCAUGCCGUAAACGAUGAUAGCUAGGUGUGGGGGGACUGACCCCUUCCGUGCCGGAGCAAACGCAAUAAGCUAUCCACCUGGGGAGUACGACCGCAAGGUUGAAACUCAAAGGAAUUGACGGGGGCCCGCACAAGCAGUGGAGUAUGUGGUUUAAUUCGAAGCAACGCGAAGAACCUUACCAGGUCUUGACAUCCAACUAACGAGGCAGAGAUGCGUUAGGUGCCCUUCGGGGAAAGUUGAGACAGGUGGUGCAUGGUUGUCGUCAGCUCGUGUCGUGAGAUGUUGGGUUAAGUCCCGCAACGAGCGCAACCCUUGUCAUUAGUUGCUACGCAAGAGCACUCUAAUGAGACUGCCGUUGACAAAACGGAGGAAGGUGGGGACGACGUC